ACUCAACACUAACAAAUUAAAAUGAGCGAAUCGUCAUUACUAAAGCAAACUGCCUUUGAGCAGGUCCUUGAACAGUGAGUUAGCUCAAAACUUGUCAAUACGAGUUU
This 107-nucleotide small RNA is filed under the name Flavobacterium ichthyis. RNAcentral's name for it is "Flavobacterium sp. NST-5 6S RNA". It matches the Rfam family "6S-Flavo RNA". Lineage: Bacteria; Pseudomonadati; Bacteroidota; Flavobacteriia; Flavobacteriales; Flavobacteriaceae. The record is from RNAcentral.